GGCCCUUUAGUUUCGCAUCUGGACCUUCGAUAUUCACAUCAGGAACAUCAACGUCCACUUUGGGUCCUGAGACAUCAAUGUCAGCCUUGGGCAGGUUCACAUCCACAUCUGGGCCCUCUCCUUUGAAGCCAGGCAUGCUGAACUUGGGCAUUUUCACCUUGGGCAUCUUCAGGUGCCAGUCUGGGCCUUGAACAUCAACAUCUGGAGCAUUAAUGUCCACUUUGGGGCCCUUGAUACAUCAAGGUCAGCCUUGGGCAGGUUCACAUCCACAUCUGGGCCCUCUCCUUUGAAGCCAGGCAUGCUGAAUUUGGGCAUUUUCACUUUGGGCAUUUUUAGGUGCCAGUCUGGACCCUGAA
Molecule: long non-coding RNA, 356 nt
Filed under: Homo sapiens (human)
Lineage: Eukaryota; Metazoa; Chordata; Mammalia; Primates; Hominidae
Description: HSALNT0176080
Source: RNAcentral